GGCCUAACACAUGCAAGUCGAACGGUAACAGGAAUCAGCUUGCUGAUUCGCUGACGAGUGGCGGACGGGUGAGUAAUGUCUGGGAAACUGCCUGAUGGAGGGGGAUAACUACUGGAAACGGUAGCUAAUACCGCAUAACGUCGCAAGACCAAAGAGGGGGACCUUCGGGCCUCUUGCCAUCGGAUGUGCCCAGAUGGGAUUAGCUAGUAGGUGGGGUAAAGGCUCACCUAGGCGACGAUCCCUAGCUGGUCUGAGAGGAUGACCAGCCACACUGGAACUGAGACACGGUCCAGACUCCUACGGGAGGCAGCAGUGGGGAAUAUUGCACAAUGGGCGCAAGCCUGAUGCAGCCAUGCCGCGUGUAUGAAGAAGGCCUUCGGGUUGUAAAGUACUUUCAGCGGGGAGGAAGGGAGUAAAGUUAAUACCUUUGCUCAUUGACGUUACCCGCAGAAGAAGCACCGGCUAACUCCGUGCCAGCAGCCGCGGUAAUACGGAGGGUGCAAGCGUUAAUCGGAAUUACUGGGCGUAAAGCGCACGCAGGCGGUUUGUUAAGUCAGAUGUGAAAUCCCCGGGCUCAACCUGGGAACUGCAUCUGAUACUGGCAAGCUUGAGUCUCGUAGAGGGGGGUAGAAUUCCAGGUGUAGCGGUGAAAUGCGUAGAGAUCUGGAGGAAUACCGGUGGCGAAGGCGGCCCCCUGGACGAAGACUGACGCUCAGGUGCGAAAGCGUGGGGAGCAAACAGGAUUAGAUACCCUGGUAGUCCACGCCGUAAACGAUGUCGACUUGGAGGUUGUGCCCUUGAGGCGUGGCUUCCGGAGCUAACGCGUUAAGUCGACCGCCUGGGGAGUACGGCCGCACAGGUUAAAACUCAAAUGAAUUGACGGGGGCCCGCACAAGCGGUGGAGCAUGUGGUUUAAUUCGAUGCAACGCGAAGAACCUUACCUGGUCUUGACAUCCACGGAAGUUUUCAGAGAUGAGAAUGUGCCUUCGGGAACCGUGAGACAGGUGCUGCAUGGCUGUCGUCAGCUCGUGUUGUGAAAUGUUGGGUUAAGUCCCGCAACGAGCGCAACCCUUAUCCUUUGUUGCCAGCGGUCCGGCCGGGAACUC
Molecule: ribosomal RNA, 1106 nt
Filed under: Shigella flexneri
Lineage: Bacteria; Pseudomonadati; Pseudomonadota; Gammaproteobacteria; Enterobacterales; Enterobacteriaceae
Description: bacterial SSU rRNA
Rfam family: Bacterial small subunit ribosomal RNA
Source: RNAcentral